AGAGUUUGAUCCUGGCUCAGGAUGAACGCUGGCGGCGUGCUUAACACAUGCAAGUCGAACGAACCUUCGGGUUAGUGGCGGACGGGUGAGUAACGCGUGAGAAUCUGCCCUCAGGAGGGGGAUAACGGUUGGAAACGACCGCUAAUACCCCAUAUGCCGAGAGGUGAAAUGAAUUUCGCCUGAGGAUGAGCUCGCGUCUGAUUAGUUAGUUGGUGGGGUAAUGGCCUACCAAGACAUCGAUCAGUAGCUGGUCUGAGAGGAUGAUCAGCCACACUGGGACUGAGACACGGCCCAGACUCCUACGGGAGGCAGCAGUGGGGAAUUUUCCGCAAUGGGCGAAAGCCUGACGGAGCAACGCCGCGUGAGGGACGAAGGCCUCUGGGCUGUAAACCUCUUUUCUCAAGGAAGAAGAUAUGACGGUACUUGAGGAAUAAGCCACGGCUAAUUCCGUGCCAGCAGCCGCGGUAAUACGGGAGUGGCAAGCGUUAUCCGGAAUUAUUGGGCGUAAAGCGUCCGCAGGCGGCUUUUCAAGUCUGCUGUUAAAGCGUGGAGCUUAACUCCAUCAUGGCAGUGGAAACUGAAAGGCUUGAGUAUGGUAGGGGCAGAGGGAAUUCCCGGUGUAGCGGUGAAAUGCGUAGAUAUCGGGAAGAACACCAGUGGCGAAGGCGCUCUGCUGGGCCAUUACUGACGCUCAUGGACGAAAGCCAGGGGAGCGAAAGGGAUUAGAUACCCCUGUAGUCCUGGCCGUAAACGAUGAACACUAGGUGUCGGGGGAAUCGACCCCUUCGGUGUCGUAGCUAACGCGUUAAGUGUUCCGCCUGGGGAGUACGCACGCAAGUGUGAAACUCAAAGGAAUUGACGGGGGCCCGCACAAGCGGUGGAGUAUGUGGUUUAAUUCGAUGCAACGCGAAGAACCUUACCAGGGUUUGACAUCCUGCGAAUCUCUUGGAAACGGGAGAGUGCCUUCGGGAACGCAGUGACAGGUGGUGCAUGGCUGUCGUCAGCUCGUGUCGUGAGAUGUUGGGUUAAGUCCCGCAACGAGCGCAACCCACGUCUUUAGUUGCCAGCAUUUAGUUGGGCACUCUAGAGAGACUGCCGGUGAUAAACCGGAGGAAGGUGUGGAUGACGUCAAGUCAUCAUGCCCCUUACAUCCUGGGCUACACACGUACUACAAUGCUACGGACAAAGGGCAGCAAGUUCGCGAGGACAAGCAAAUCCCAUAAACCGUGGCUCAGUUCAGAUCGUAGGCUGCAACUCGCCUACGUGAAGGCGGAAUCGCUAGUAAUCGCAGGUCAGCAUACUGCGGUGAAUACGUUCCCGGGCCUUGUACACACCGCCCGUCACACCAUGGAAGUUGGCCACGCCCGAAGCCGUUACUCCAACCCUUGUGGAGGAGGACGUCGAAGGUGGGGCUGAUGACUGGGGUGAAGUCGUAACAAGGUAACC
Molecule: ribosomal RNA, 1446 nt
Filed under: uncultured bacterium
Lineage: Bacteria
Description: 16S ribosomal RNA
Rfam family: Bacterial small subunit ribosomal RNA
Source: RNAcentral